Erigeron canadensis is the source of this 3280-nucleotide long non-coding RNA. RefSeq lists it as uncharacterized. The record is from RefSeq and is a predicted model, not a curated record. The transcript is spliced from 5 exons. Lineage: Eukaryota; Viridiplantae; Streptophyta; Magnoliopsida; Asterales; Asteraceae.
UACAUGUACAAUAUAUUCGGGUUUUAAUAUCUAGUAAUAAUAAUAUGAUGCUAAUUAAGUUAAGUUUUGUGAUUGAUCAUUGUUUCUAGACACUUUAUAUACCCUUUCAGCUUCAUCUUCAACUUUAUCGGAAUGCGAGUCAAGAAGUACAUAACAAAUAUAAAUAAAUACGAGUACUUUUAAUUUGUGAAAUAAAAAAAAAAAAAAAAGGGGCAAUUAGAGCACUCAGAGUGCCCUUCACUCAUCCUUCAAAAUAUGUAUAUUUCGGAAAGGUUUAGCGGGUCGGAAAGUGGUGUCCAAUGCUGAUGAAUGGAUAGGCGUAUCUUGUAACUUGAGUAGUUCUAUUGUUUUGUAAGCAUCAUCCUUGGAAGGUCCUAUGUUAGGUCGAGUCCUAUAUGUAUGUAGUCAUCCGAAUACAUGUAUAUAUGAUAUUAUGAUAUGAUAUUUGAUUUGUUUGUUAUAGAAGUAUAAAUAAAUUUCGGGUGCAACAAUCAAGUAGGCAAACAGAGAGAUCUUGUGGACCGAUUCAAAUGUAUGAGUUUGGUAGAAUAUGUACAGGCUCAAUUUCUACGAGCAAAACUUCAUUCCUUCGGUAGUGCCUGGUGGUGAUGUUAUUUCUACAGAUAUCAGCUUUGAGGUCAUUUUGGAUAUCUUCAACGCUUGGCAGUUCAAUAGAACUUUCAUCCAUCUACUUCGGAUUUUACAACAGUUCACACAUAGAUUCCCAAUUUUGUAAGGUUAACUAAUAGACAGCUGUAUAGCUGUCUAUUAGUUAAGGCAUUUUGGCUUGGUAAUUAAGGCACUGAUUUUUUAUUUUUUUAUUUUUGGCUUGAAUUAUGGUGAAAUCUCUUGACUUUUUCAGUUUUUUAUAUGGUCAUUGUUUCUGUAUAUUUUGCAAACAUUAACUGAGAUUGAUUGAAGGAGAUUCAUCCAGUCCUUUCACUUUUUAGUUUCAUAAUCCAUGAGAUUCUGGACUUGACUAUGUUCAAAACAAAGAUGGAGAACGUAUAUUUUGCUUUGAACUUUGUUGGCAGGUUUACAUAGAAGAGAAGACUUCUUUGAUUAACUACAAGAAAAUGAAAACUAUGAAAUUAUAUUCUCAUGUGGCGAAGGGGCCAGUUUACUUGCAGCUAUGCACGCAUUUAGCUCACAACAAAACGAUCUGACAUUUAUGGUGGUUGAGCUUCGGAUGCAGUCAUGUCUAGCGCCUGCUUAGCCAGAUGAGUUUUGUAGCAGCUCAUAAUUUUCGCAAUGAAUUCUGGAAGAACACAUAAGUUUAUAUGUUGAACAACAUGUAACGACCAGAAAAACAAAAACACGGUUAUAAUAUUAGAGAAAUGGGAGAUUCUUGGACAGAAGUCACGGGUUUGAGUCAUUGAAACAGAUUCAAUAAAGUGAUAUUCAAAUACUCAAUCUUAAGGUCGAAAGAUCAUUUCCAGAAUGCACACCGCAGAUAUGGCCAUAAUGAGGAAUGACCAUAUCUGAAUAUUGAUGACCAUUUUGGAACAAUAUUUAAAAGUUUGAUGGUCGUUAACUAAUAUGUUAUGCAUAAGGUAAGUUGGUAUUUUAUGGCGUAACCUUAAUUACUAUAGUGACGAACAUGGAUAGAUUAUAGAUCUCAUUUGCUUACCUUCGAUGUUCAUGAAAUGUUGGAUUAGCUUUCUCCUUUCGUCAUUCGAAAAUCUUCCAGAGCCUUUAUCCUGAAUAGAACAUGAAAAUGGUCAUUUUUUUAUUCUUCCAUUCCAAUCUCAUUUAGUAAACGACAGUUUGUUCUUACAUUAUAUUCUCUAUACGUAUUGUCAAUCUGCUGAUGUACUGACUCUGCAGUAUUCUUCUUCAACUCAACAUUUAGAGUCUGCAAAUAGUAAGUAUUAGAGAAUUUAUACUUGCUUAUAAAUCACAUGUUAGACAGAGUAAUACGUACUUGAAAGAUGAAUUUAGGUGGUACACUGUGGUCUAUGAGUUUCUGAAGUUUCCGACGUAUGUCAUAUAACCUGUCAAGAUAUUUAUUCAGCAUGUUAGAUAUUGAUUCUGGCCAAAAAAGGUUUCAAUUUUAGGGUCCAUCACUAUUUGUGUUAGCUGCAAAAAUAGGUAAAUUAAGUUUUAGUCACUUAAAAGUUCCCCAAAACUUUCUGAAAGUUUCAUUUCAAGGUAUUAUAAAAAUGGACAUCCGGUGGUUAUCAGCACUAUGUCAGUGCUGUCUAAAAGGCUUUUCGAUGGUUUCUGCCACGGUAUCUUCAAUCAAGUUUCAGAAUAUUUUAAGAGUUUUUGUGGGUGAAAAAAACUUAAUCUACCUCAAAUAGAAACUGGAUCAAGUUGAUUUUGUUAAAUACAAUAAACUCUUUUAUUAUACCAAGUGUCAUAUGACAUUUAUUUUGAUUAAAUGUGAGUAAUCUGGUAGCUUACUGUCUGGGGCUCUGUUUUUCCACUAUGCUUUUGGCAAUAUCUGCAAUAUCAUCUUCCCACCCAGUCAAAAUCACUUGAUCUUCUUCCAAAUGAGAGCUGCAGGAUAUCAGAAAACAAAUCUCACGGGUAGCUUCUAAGGAACGAAUGGCUUGUCGCAGGUUAUUCUUGGAAUCCGUGGCUAUUCUUUCAGCUAAUUUUCUUGGCAACUCUAUUUUUUCUUUUCUUGCUAUGAAUUCCAGGACUUCGAUAAUCUAGAACAAUGAAGAAGAUAUAGGAUGAUGCUGACGAUCACAAGAGGAAAUUGAACUAUUGGGUGGCAGAUCCAGAACAUUGGCCGAAGAAGGAGGAAGCAGCUCAACUAAUUUGCAGAUGUUUUUAAGGGGCUGCAUUUUCGAAGCGUCUUGGCAACAGAAGAAGAUUUUAUGACAUCCUCUAUAUCGCUCUAUAACCCAUCUUAUAUACAGCAGUGCAUCUGUUGAUAGCUUGUCUGCUUGGUAAAGAAUGAUGGCUGCAUGGGUUGAUUUGAGAGAAAUGUAUGGCAACCUGAAUGACCCAGCUAGGUAAUAGAGAUCAGAUCACAACCAAAAGUGGGAUUUAGAAGGGAUGUGUAGAUGGAGUAGGCCUAAGGGUUUUGAUACCUGAAGUCAUGCACAAUAAUAUUUAUCCCCAUGGUGCAACUGGUUUUACACUUUUACGGUCAUAAAUAUUUGUAAUAAUGGCUUUCUAACUAUAAGCAUUAGUACAAGGGGACAUCUAUGUUUGGCCCAACCAUGUUUUCGUGUUCAAGCAGUUAUAUUUCUUCCAUUUUGUUGUAUUUUUGCCUAUUAGAAGUGACUUGGUUUAUAUAUUAUAUAUGCAGUUGUCUUAAUUCUUA